AGCGUAGGCGGUUGGGUAAGUCAGGUGUUAAAGCUAUCGGCUUAACUGGUAGUUGCACUUGAAACUACUCAGCUGGAGGAUGCAAGAGGAAAGCGGAACUCGUGGUGUAGCGGUGAAAUGCGUAGAUAUCACGAGGAACACCAGUAGCGAAGGCGGCUUUCUGGGGCAUUCCUGACGCUGAGGCUCGAAAGCGUGGGGAGCGAACAGGAUUAGAUACCCUGGUAGUCC
This 228-nucleotide ribosomal RNA is filed under the name uncultured bacterium. RNAcentral's name for it is "partial 16S ribosomal RNA". It matches the Rfam family "Bacterial small subunit ribosomal RNA", at positions 568 to 796 of the family's 1533-position model. The record is from RNAcentral.